UAAUAUAUAAAAAAGAGAGAUUACAAAGGAAUAAAGGAUUAUCUUAUGAACUUCAUAGCUUACAGCUGUUUCUGCUGUAAGAUGCAGAAGACUCAUAGUUCAGUGCCUGAGUAACAUUUUAUAGCUUCAUCAGAGCCUCGGGAAUGUUUGUCAGGCAUUCAAC
Long non-coding RNA from Octopus sinensis (East Asian common octopus), 163 nucleotides. RefSeq lists it as uncharacterized. The transcript has 3 exons. The record is from RefSeq and is a predicted model, not a curated record. Lineage: Eukaryota; Metazoa; Mollusca; Cephalopoda; Octopoda; Octopodidae.